Molecule: transfer RNA, 75 nt
Filed under: Stylotermes sp. Chi-131
Lineage: Eukaryota; Metazoa; Arthropoda; Insecta; Blattodea; Stylotermitidae
Description: tRNA-Tyr
Rfam family: tRNA
About the family: Transfer RNA (tRNA) molecules are approximately 80 nucleotides in length. Their secondary structure includes four short double-helical elements and three loops (D, anti-codon, and T loops).
Source: RNAcentral
AGUGGGGUGGCUGAGAUGUUAAGUAGGCGGUAGGCUGUAAAUCUAUUUAGGGGUGUUUGCUUCACUUUCCCACUA